CUUGACUGUAUCUUGGAAUUGGGUUCGGGCUUUUCUUGCGCAGACUAGGUGGGAGGCUACGAAGAUUUUCUUCCGGGAAGGUUGGAGCCAACAGUGAGAGACCACUCUGGAGAGGCUAGAAUCCUAAUGGUGAUCCUUGAAUCAGGACACUUGACAGUUUCAGGUGGGCAGUUUUUCUGGGGCGGAAGCCUCAUAAAAGGUAACUGAGGCGCGCAAAGGUCCCCUCAGUCUGGACGGAAAUCAGACAUUGAGUGUAAAGGCAAAAGGGGGCUUGACUGCAAGACCUACAAGUCGAGCAGGAGCGAAAGCUGGCCUUAGUGAUCCGACGGUGCUGAGUGGAAAGGCCGUCGCUCAACGAAUAAAAGUUA
Molecule: ribosomal RNA, 368 nt
Filed under: uncultured organism
Description: bacterial LSU rRNA
Rfam family: Bacterial large subunit ribosomal RNA
Source: RNAcentral